UUCUGUGUUGGUGAUAUAGUGUGAUAUCCUUACUGGGUUAGUGUAACUCAUCCCUUAUCUAACCAUUUCAGAUCAAGAGGACUUGGUUCCAGAGCCCAAUCCGCAGGAAGAUUACGAGUAGAUGCUAGAUAUUUUCUAUUUUUCAUUACUUUUCGUAUUUCUCGUGUUUCUUUCAGAGAAUUCAUUCCGUAAUAUUUGUUUAGUACUUUUAAGUUAUUAUAUAAGGGAUGUAAACUUUAACUUUUUAUUUCACUUCCGCACUUAAAUUAUUA
RNAcentral lists this long non-coding RNA (272 nucleotides) under Carica papaya (papaya). RNAcentral's name for it is "long non-coding RNA (CPAP_LNC006419)". Lineage: Eukaryota; Viridiplantae; Streptophyta; Magnoliopsida; Brassicales; Caricaceae. The record is from RNAcentral.